ACAUGUGUAAUGCAAUAAUGAAUAUGAUGUACUCUUUUCUCUGUGAACCGUUUUUUCCAUUGGGUUUUCCAGAUGGAGUUUUUAAUGAGGCAUGUGCAUAUCGUGGUAAUCGCUUAAGGAGGAGUGUUAUAAACAUACAGACUUAAUCCUAGAAGGAAAUGAGAAGGAGAAUCCUAAUCUUAAUCCUAAUCCAUUUGUAUAUGAGCUCUUACCAAAACUCUUAGACCUUAGCAGAACUAUAUAUACAUGGGAGCUCUAUGUUGUAAUGACCAAUAUUUAGAGGAAUAAAGAAUAAUCUCUCUAUCUCUUGUGUAUUUGUGUUCUACUUUCAUCCACUAUGUUGAUCGUAAGAGACAAAAAUAGAUAACUCAUAAACUUCCCCCAUCCUAAAAUAAAUAAUUUUCUAAAGUUUAAAAAUUAUCCUAAAAUAAAUAAAAUUAUAUGCAAAUAUAAUCAUAGGUGCAUGCAGAAAAAUAACUACCAAUUUGGAGAGAGAGAGAGAGAGAGAUAUCCUCUGAAAAGAAAAAAAAAAGGUAAGGGCCAGAGGGUAUAUACAUCUUUUGCCAACAUCCUUAAUCUGUCUAAAAUUUCUAGAAACUUAUUUAUUAUAGGAUAGAGAGAUUAUAUUUUGGUGGGAAUAUAAUUGGACAAAACUUACUUAUCUUUACAUGGGG
RNAcentral lists this long non-coding RNA (674 nucleotides) under Sorghum bicolor (sorghum). RNAcentral's name for it is "long non-coding RNA (SBIC_LNC007562)". The record is from RNAcentral. Lineage: Eukaryota; Viridiplantae; Streptophyta; Magnoliopsida; Poales; Poaceae.